Trifolium pratense (red clover) is the source of this 6640-nucleotide long non-coding RNA. RefSeq lists it as uncharacterized. The transcript has 5 exons. The record is from RefSeq and is a predicted model, not a curated record. NCBI's taxonomy places the organism in Eukaryota, Viridiplantae, Streptophyta, Magnoliopsida, Fabales, Fabaceae.
CUCAUUCUUUCUUUCUUUCUUCUUCAAGAAACAAGAAAAGAAUGAAAACACGAACAACACACAUCGUGGAAUUCAAUGGUGUUGGGUUUGUCGCACAAGGAUUCAAGAAACUGCGAUGCUCUCUAUAUUUGCCGAUAAUUUCUUCCGUUUGCUACGGUAAUUUUUUCAACUUUCUCUCCACAUGUUGAUUCAUUCAGAUACCCAUUUUCGAAAUUCAAUCUUCUGCUUCAUAAAAACAAAACAAAAGAAACCUUAAUUGUUCUUUCUGUUUGAACAUUCAAUUUUAUGCUUGAAAAAAGGUACAAACUUUACCCAUUUUUUUUCUCAUUCUUGAGAAAAACAAAAGAACCCUAAUUCUGCAAAAGGUGUUCUGUUCUGUCCCAAAAGAAUCUUAAAAGACAGUUUUUUGUUUGUCACAAUAAGCUGAGUUUUACUUGUUAUUGGAAUUUUCAUUCUGGUUUAUGAUCGAUACAUGUUGAGAACCUAUAAGAAUGUGAAUCAUUGUGUGACGGAAUCUUUAUUCAUUAUCUGAAAAAGGGGUGGAGUAUAUUGCCCUAGUGACCCUAAAUUUGACGGUUGGAAUCGAUGAAUAUACUUUGUUUUGUAACGGAUGGAUAAUAGCUGCCUCAAUUACCAUAGAGUAAAAUGUUGGAUGGAUUUAAUGACCCUUAGUCCUGAAUGUGAAAGGUAGUUGUUGCCUUAAUUGCUAUUCAAACAAUUGUCUCUAUCGUGUCCGCUUUUCGAUUAAACAAAAUUAUGAAUUUUUAUUCGUAAUAUUGCAUGAAUGGGUAUAUACUCUGCUUUGAUGACCCUUAGUCCCUAAAUUCGAUUCUGCAACUGCAUGAAUGGGUAUAUAUCAGAAGACAGUUUUUUGUUUGUCACAAUAAGCCGAGUUUCACUCAUUUUUGGAAUUUUCAUUCUAACAUAUUUGCCCCAUCUGGUUUAUAAUCGAUACAUGUUGGGAAUGAUGGCGGGUUUCCAAUUUUAAAGGGUAUAAAAACCCUAUACGAAUGUGAAUCAUUGUGUGACGGAAUCUUUUUCAUUAUCUAAAAAAGGGGUGGAGUAUAUUGCCCUAGUGACCCUAAAUUUGAUCGUCGGAAUCGAUGAAUAUACUUUGUUUUGUAAAUUUUGUAACGGAUGGAUUAUGGCUGCCUCAAUGACCAUAGAGUGAAAUGUUGGAUGGUCUUAAUGAACCUAAUCCCUCAAUGUGAAAGGUAGUUGUUGCCUUAAUUGCUACUCGAGCAAUUGUCUCUAUCGGUGUCCGCUUUUCGAUUGAAUAAUUAAGAAUUUUUAUUCAUAAUAAUGCAUGAAUGAAUGGGUAUAUAUAUUAUACUUUGAUGACCCUUAGUCCCUUAAUUCGAUUUUGCUUCAUAAAAACAAAACAAAAGAACGUUAAUUGAGCAAAGGUGUUCUUUCUGUCCCAUGACCCUUUUGUUUGUUACUGUAAAUUUUGAAACUUUCAUUUCAAUAUAUUUGCAUCCCAGAAUUAAUACUCUCUCUGCUACCACGUACUAUCAAGACCAUUAUUCUUCCUACUUACAAGAAUUGUAGUCUGAUGUUUUAGUAAACACUGGAAAUUAUUAGCAGUUGCACAAUUGCAUUUUCAUUUCUGAUAUUGUAAGCUUAUUCUUUUUCUGAGGUUCCUUUUUCUUGGUGGGGGUGUGGGGGGAUUCCAUAAAAUGUGAAGGUUCCUUCAUUUGCAGAUGAUGUGGCUAUGGCUCUAGUUGAAGAGGAACUUGGUCAGCCAUGGCAAAAUGGCCAAAAGAACAUUAAUUGAUCAAAGGUGUUCUUUCUGUUUGAACAUUCAAUUUUAUGCUUGAAAAAAGGUACAAACUUUACCCAUUUUAUUCUCAUUCUUGAUCAUUCAAUCUUCUGCUUGAGAAAAACAAAAGAACCCUAAUUCUGCAAAAGGUGUUCUGUUCUGUCCCAAAAGAAUCUUAAAAGACAGUUUUUUGUUUGUCACAUUAAGCUGAGUUUCACUCGGUUUAUAAUCGAUACUUGUUAGGAACGAUGGUGGGUUUCCAAUUUUAAAGGGUAUAAAAACCCUAUAAGAAUGUGAAUCAUUGUGUGACGGAAUCUUUAUUCAUUAUCUGAAAAAAGGGUGGAGUAUAUUGCCCUAGUGACCCUAAAUUUGACGGUUGGAAUCGAUGAAUAUACUUUGUUUUGUAAAUUUUGUAACGGAUGGAUCAUAGAUGCCUCAAUUAACAUAGAGUAAAAUGUUGGAUGGAUUUAAUGACCCUUAGUCCCUGAAUGUGAAAGGUAGUUGUUGCCUUAAUUGCUACUCAAGCAAUUGUCUCUAUCGGUGUCCGCUUUUCGAUUAAAAAAUUAUGAAUUUUUAUUCGUAAUAAUGCAUGAACGGGUAUAUAUUCUGCUUUGAUGACCCUUAGUCCCUAAAUUCGAUUCUGCGACUGCAAUCAGAAGUGAUUUUGCUCGAAAAAGAGGUACAACUUUACCCAUUUUUCUCAUUCUUGAUCAUUCAAGAACAUUCAAUCUUCUGCUUGAGAAAAACAAAACAACCUUAAUUCUGCAAAAGGUGUUCUAUUUUGUCCCAAAAGAAUCUUAAAUGUUGGAUGGAUUUAAUGACCCUUAGUCCCUGAAUGUGAAAGGUAGUUGUUGCCUUAAUUGCUAGCAAUUGUUUCUAUCGUUGUCCGCUUUUCGAUUAAAAAAAUUAUGAAUUUUUAUUCAUAAUAAUGCAUGAAUGGGUAUAUAUUAUGCUUUGAUGACCCUUAGUCCCUAAGUUCAAUUAAAUUUUGUUACAGAUGGAUCAUGGAUGCCUCAAUGACCAUAAAGUGAAUUGUCGAUGGUCUUAAUGACCCUAGUCCCUGAAUGUGAGAGAUAGUUGUUGCCUUAAUUGCUACUCAAGCAAUUGUCUCUAUCGUUGUCCACUUUUCGAUUAAAAAAAUUAUGAAUUUUUAUUCAUAAUAAUGCAUGAAUGGGUAUAUAUUCUGCUUUGAUGACCCUUAGUCCCUAAGUUCGAUUAAAUUUUGUUACGGAUGGAUCAUGGAUGCCUCAAUGACCGUAGAGUGAAUUCUUUGUGUUUGAUUAGUCUACUAUAAUAAGAGUUUCAAAGGAAUUCUAAGGAACAAAGUACAAAGAAACGAACUCUUUGGAGUAUAAACUAUUUCUUAUAAUAUCGAUCUGGUAUGUAUGAGUGCAUCGCGUCCUAUAGGCUUUGCACAAAGAUAUUGUGAACCCCUUGUUUCAUUGAGGGAUGGUGACUUUGGAAGCAAGGCUGUGGGGCAUGCCAAUUUUUUUUUACUUAAAGUUGCUGCUUUAUAGACUGUAAGGAGGUUCUCCAAUAGUAGAUGCCCAUGUGUGUGGCAAGGUCUGCAGAGUCUACAAAUCCUUGUCCUACCACAAUUUAAAUGGAUUCAGAGGUGGGUUGCCUUCAGGGGUUUGGUCAAAAGCAUGCAGGUACUAUCAAGACCAUUAUUCGUCCUUUCCAUUGCAACAAUCUUUACUGAUGAACUGGAGUGUAGUGAUGGAACCUCUGCAGAAAUAUCUCCGGUGCAGGAUAAUAUGAAUAUUAGAAGGCAUUGCGUCCUUGUGUUUGAUUAGCCUACUGAUAAGGGUUUCAAAGGAAUUCUCUAAGGAAGACACGAAUCAACUGAAGCAAAGUACAAAGAAACCAACUCUUUGGAGUCUAAACUGUUUCUUAUAAUAUCUAUUUGGUAUAUAUGGCAUUAUGGCCAUGAGGUUGUAUCUGUUAGUCUUUUUUACUGGAAAUCUAUUGUGAAAUCUGAUAAAAUUUGGUUGGUGUUGGUAUAAGAAUCAGAUAGCACUAUAUUUGUGUUGAUAAUUAUAAAUGUAAGUCUUGGAUUUAGUAACUGAAAAAGGUAGAACCUUACCCAUUUUUAUCAUUCUUGAUCAUUCAAUAUAAUUCAAUCUUCUGCUUGAUAAAUACAAAACCUUUUAUUGGUGAACAUAGCGGUGUGCAGGUUCAGCAUGCUAAUAAGGUGGUUAAUUCCCAAGUUUCAACGGUGAUUUUGAAACCGAAAUCUCAUGCAACUGUUAGUGUUGAAACUUGAAAGCUUGUUGGUGUUGAUGUGGCUUCAUGCACGAACUAGAGCAACUGUCUAUCCCAAAUUUGAAAAUGAGGAUGAUGCCUUAAUGUGAAAGCUAGUAGAUGAGAAGGAAUUCUCAGGAUAUGAAUUCAAAUAUUGUGUUCUAGAGUGGACUGUUGGGCUGGCCCAAGCCCAGUACCACCUCCUCAACCAUACAAGCCUCACAUCAUUACUUAUGAAGGUAUGUCUCAUUCUAAACCUUUCUGGUUUUCUCUAACUCAAAAGACAAAAAAAUAUUACUCGAAGGAAGGAUAAAUUCACUUUUAAAUUAGAUAAAAGUCUUGAAUGAUUAAUUAACCCGGAUAUUGGGCCGAGGCCCUUGGUCCAAUAAAGUAUGAAAGCCCAUGAUGAGGUAGCCGUUAUAUUAAAGCACAUGCAUUCUUCACAUGUCUAUGUUAUGCAUCUUCUAUCUUACACAAUGUAUUUGGUUUGGUUGUCUGAUUCUUUUUUCUUAAGUAAAGAAUGGACACAUUGUGGAAUUUGUGUUGGGUGAUAAAUACUAUAGUUUCUUGAUAAAACCUCAAUGAAUGUUGGUUGGAUCACUCAAUCAGCUUUUCACAUGUUUGCAUUGAUUCAUGUCGAGACACCCAUUUUCUCAUUCUUGACUAUUCAACAAUGUUCAAUCUUCUGCAUAAUAAAAACUAAAGAACCUUAAUAAUUGAAUUGAGCAUGUGUUAUGUUCCAAGACCCUGCAUGGUACCAAUAUUUUGAAAGAUUAACUUUUUCCUUUGCUACGGUGAUUUUGGAACUUUCAUUCCAAUAUAUUUUCAUUUUUGAUUAGUCACGACCAUUCAAUCUUCUGCUAGAAAAAAGGUUUAACCUUGCCCGUUUUUCUCAUUCUUGAUUACUGAAGAACCUUAAUUGAGCAAAUUUGCUUUGUCUCAAGACCCAGUCUGGUACCAACAUUUUGAAAGAUGAUUUUUUUUUUCAUUUGCUAAAGUAAUUUUUGGUUUUCAUUCCAACAUAUUGGUUUGCGGUUGAUACCUGUUGUGAUACCGAUUUUUAAUUCUUGAUAAUUCAAGAACAUUCAAUCUUUUACUUAAAAAAUUAAUUGAGGAAAUGUACUCUGCCCCCACACCCCCCCCCCACCCCAAAAAAAAAAAAAAACCUUCGAUCUUCUGCUUAUUGGAAUUUUUGUUCCUACAUAUUUGUCCCGUUUAGUUAUAAUCAGCAUAUGCCUAUUUCUCAUUCUUGAUUAUUCAAGAACUUUCAAUCUUCUGUUUCAAGAAAAAGUUAAACUUCAAUUUUGUAAAUCAAAAUUUAGCUGGGUAUACAAUCCUAUAAGACUAUAAAUCAGUGAGAUGAAAUCUUUUUUCAUUAUCCGAAAAACGGGUGGAGUAUAUGAGCCUAGUAACCCCAAGUAUGAUUGUUGGAAUUGAUGGAAAUACUUUGUAAAAUGCAUCAUGAACUCUUUAUUCACAAUGUGCAAGUUGGAUGAUGUCCUUCAAUGCAAUUUUUAUAUGAACCAAUUCUUCCAACGUUUCUAUUCUUUGUACAAGUCUUUCAAAAAGGUUGAGACUCUUAAAUUGAGGUAAGUAAAAAAAAAAAUACUCUCAAUAUAUUCUAAUAAAUUUUAUGUCUUUAUAUUGUGCGACGUAAGUAAUUGAUGUUUUAGGAUGUACCCAUGAAAACAUCUCAAGAAACUGAGAAAGACAUAAGACUGGGUUUGCCUACAAAUUGAUACCUGCCGAAAGAUAUAUGUCUUUCUCUAACCACUCACAUUGGAAGAUAGCUUCUGGUAGGCGGAACCUAGAUUUCUGAAUCGCAUCUUCUAUAACACCCCAUAUUACAUUGUUCGGAAUAUCAUAGGUUCAUUAGUAAUUGGUAUUGAGUACAUUAAAAUUACAAGCCAAAAUACUUCGAAUUACAACAUACUUCUUCAAAUAAGCAAAUAGUUCAUCACACGGUCUAAUACAAGAAAGGAAACAAGACUAAAUAACAUGACGGAAAUAGAAUAAUAGAUCUCCGAUUCUUCGAAGUCACUACUCCAUAGCCUUCUUACCCUUGGAUACCUACUUAUCUGGAAAAAAAGGAAAGUCGUGGGGUGAGGCUACUAAGUCUCAACGAGUUCCUACUACCUAACUAUUGUUGUGAAGCAUUAAGAAUGUUUUCCUUCAACCAUUUAGGGUUACAACAAUCCGACUCAAUGGAUGAAAAGGUAAAUCCUAUCAUCCCUUAUCUAUGUUUAGUUUUUUUAUUUGUCUGUGUCAUAAACUAGUAGUACUUAAUGAAUCUAUGGAAGUUUGAUUUUUCAGUUAAGCACCAACUUGGAAGAUUUGGCAAUAAAUGGCAUGGAUGCCUUUAGAAUGUUAAAUGGUUACUGUCAAGAAAAUAUCUUCCUAUAAACUAGAACUUCUUCGUUUGCAAUGCUUUGAUGAAACUCCGCCUAUUUUUCUGAAUGAUUUCCAUGCAGUAUUUUGUAACCUAAUAACCCUUACAGUGCGUAAUAGUUCUUUUGAAAUAUUAUUCCCCGCUAAAGGAUCUACUGGAAACCGCAACAAGAAAAUUUCUUUGCAAAUAAAACAUUUGAGGCUUUACGAUUUGGAAAAUAUCAAGUAUAUUUUUCAUGUAGACUU